AUUGAACGCUGGCGGCAGGCCUAACACAUGCAAGUCGAACGGUAACAGGAAGAAGCUUGCUUCUUUGAUGACGAGUGGCGGACGGGUGAGUAAUGUCUGGGAAACUGCCUGAUGGAGGGGGAUAACUACUGGAAACGGUAGCUAAUACCGCAUAACGUCGCAAGACCAAAGAGGGGGACCUUCGGGCCUCUUGCCAUCGGAUGUGCCCAGAUGGGAUUAGCUAGUAGGUGGGGUAACGGCUCACCUAGGCGACGAUCCCUAGCUGGUCUGAGAGGAUGACCAGCCACACUGGAACUGAGACACGGUCCAGACUCCUACGGGAGGCAGCAGUGGGGAAUAUUGCACAAUGGGCGCAAGCCUGAUGCAGCCAUGCCGCGUGUAUGAAGAAGGCCUUCGGGUUGUAAAGUACUUUCAGCGGGGAGGAAGGGAGUAAAGUUAAUACCUUUGCUCAUUGACGUUACCCGCAGAAGAAGCACCGGCUAACUCCGUG
This 490-nucleotide ribosomal RNA is filed under the name uncultured bacterium. RNAcentral's name for it is "partial 16S ribosomal RNA". It matches the Rfam family "Bacterial small subunit ribosomal RNA", at positions 30 to 507 of the family's 1533-position model. The record is from RNAcentral.